GAAUGGCACCACGAAGGUUAUACUGUCUCCUUUCCCCAAUCAGUGAAACUAAUCUCCCCGUGAAGAAGCGGGGAUAAAAAUAUAAGACGAGAAGACCCUAUGGAGCUUUAAACAACGCAGCAAUUGCUACCACUCUAAAAAGCCUCCGAGUCUCUAAUUUACCUUGGCACUUUGACAGCAAGUUUUAGGUUGGGGUGACCGCGGAGUAAAACAUAACCUCCACGCUGAAAGAAUUAUUCUGAGCCAAGAGCUACUAUUCUAAGCACCAACAUACUGACAUCUAUUGACCCA
This 291-nucleotide ribosomal RNA is filed under the name Dendrophryniscus brevipollicatus. RNAcentral's name for it is "partial 16S ribosomal RNA". It matches the Rfam family "Bacterial large subunit ribosomal RNA", at positions 1994 to 2422 of the family's 2925-position model. Lineage: Eukaryota; Metazoa; Chordata; Amphibia; Anura; Bufonidae. The record is from RNAcentral.